AGAGUUUGAUCCUGGCUCAGAUUGAACGCUGGCGGCAUGCCUUACACAUGCAAGUCGAACGGCAGCACGGGAGCAAUCCUGGUGGCGAGUGGCGAACGGGUGAGUAAUACAUCGGAACGUGCCCAAUCGUGGGGGAUAACGCAGCGAAAGCUGUGCUAAUACCGCAUACGAUCUACGGAUGAAAGCAGGGGAUCGCAAGACCUUGCGCGAAUGGAGCGGCCGAUGGCAGAUUAGGUAGUUGGUGAGGUAAAGGCUCACCAAGCCUUCGAUCUGUAGCUGGUCUGAGAGGACGACCAGCCACACUGGGACUGAGACACGGCCCAGACUCCUACGGGAGGCAGCAGUGGGGAAUUUUGGACAAUGGGCGAAAGCCUGAUCCAGCCAUGCCGCGUGCAGGAUGAAGGCCUUCGGGUUGUAAACUGCUUUUGUACGGAACGAAACGGCCUUUUCUAAUAAAGAGGGCUAAUGACGGUACCGUAAGAAUAAGCACCGGCUAACUACGUGCCAGCAGCCGCGGUAAUACGUAGGGUGCAAGCGUUAAUCGGAAUUACUGGGCGUAAAGCGUGCGCAGGCGGUUAUGUAAGACAGUUGUGAAAUCCCCGGGCUCAACCUGGGAACUGCAUCUGUGACUGCAUAGCUAGAGUACGGUAGAGGGGGAUGGAAUUCCGCGUGUAGCAGUGAAAUGCGUAGAUAUGCGGAGGAA
RNAcentral lists this ribosomal RNA (703 nucleotides) under uncultured bacterium. Its description in RNAcentral is "bacterial SSU rRNA". It matches the Rfam family "Bacterial small subunit ribosomal RNA", at positions 8 to 706 of the family's 1533-position model. The record is from RNAcentral.